RNAcentral lists this ribosomal RNA (301 nucleotides) under uncultured bacterium. Its description in RNAcentral is "partial 16S ribosomal RNA". It matches the Rfam family "Bacterial small subunit ribosomal RNA", at positions 509 to 809 of the family's 1533-position model. The record is from RNAcentral.
CAGUCGCCACGGUAAUACAGAGGGUGCGAGCGUUAAUCGGAUUUACUGGGCGUAAAGCGUGCGUAGGCGGCUUCUUAAGUCGGAUGUGAAAUCCCUGAGCUUAACUUAGGAAUUGCAUUCGAUACUGGGAAGAUAGAGUAUGGGAGAGGAUGGUAGAAUUCCAGGUGUAGCGGUGAAAUGCGUAGAGAUCUGGAGGAAUACCGAUGGCGAAGGCAGCCAUCUGGCCUAAUACUGACGCUGAGGUACGAAAGCAUGGGGAGCAAACAGGAUUAGAUACCCGUGUAGUCCCUGUCUCUUAUAA